This 1681-nucleotide long non-coding RNA is filed under the name Daphnia pulicaria. RNAcentral's name for it is "uncharacterized LOC124337814, transcript variant X3". Lineage: Eukaryota; Metazoa; Arthropoda; Branchiopoda; Diplostraca; Daphniidae. The record is from RNAcentral.
UACGUCAGUACAGCAGACAGAUCAGAGAAGUCAGAAGUGCAGACCAGACUACAGAAUCAAAAUCACCUCAUUCGUCUUGUCUUUGCUCUUUGGGACGCUGCACGCUGUAAGUUAUGCUGGCUACGGUUUGUGUAUUAGUCAUGUCAGCGAACUUCAACAUUUUCCAUCGUGAAGAUAGAAAGUGCUGUCCGUAUGCUGAAAUGUCGUCUCGUACUACAUACUUCAUUGAAAUGGAUAUUUCAUUAAAUUUUCAUCCGUUUUCAUUUUGCUUCAACUAUAUACACUUCAUGGAUGUAAAACAGGUGUUGAUUAUUGCUGGCUGUAAAAUUUUGAAAAAAAGAAUUGUUAAAGUAUUUUUGAAAGAAAUCAUUAGCAUGCUAAUUUCAUUUUGUAACUACUGCUUAUUUCUGAAGCUAAAGCUAUUUUUUUCCCUUCAUUUUUUUUAAAGGUAGAUUAAUUCAAACUGUCGAAUAAUGUUGUUUGCUUCUCUAUGUGUAGAUGGUGAAAGGUGUGCUUGACUCGGAAUAAGCUGCUGUUGUCUCUGGUGUUGGUGAGUCUACAGUUACUCUGCUUACCUUCUUCACUUCUUUGGACAUGUUGUUGGCCUUCUUCGCAACACUCCUCAUCCAGCUUCAAUGCUGCUAAUGUUGCUGCACAACUUGUCCUACACUCCACUGACAAGUUGUACCACUUCAGUCCGCUGUUACUCACCAUGGGGAAUCACCCAGCAUCAAACGAAGUGUUACUUAUACGUAUCCUUUUUCCAACGCUAGUGGGUUUAUUACAGCGUUUGAUAAUUUUCAGCUGUCAAAUUACGACAAAUUACGACAACACCCACUAUUAAGAGACAAUGCCAAGCAUUGAAAAAGUUCUGCACAGAGUGACGUAAGAGUUGGAUAUCAACGAAAAGAUUGAAAACCAUUUACCCAUCACAAUCACAAAAAGUGAUUACCUCAAUUCUUUCCCCUUAUUGAGUGAUGCCCGAGCAGAAUUGUAACACUCCAGGUGAAAUUGAGCUCUUUGAAAAUUGGACAGCCAUGCCAAGGAUAAAUUCCUCUUUUUCCUGUACCGGCUGUACAUUUUGUAAGAAACACUUCAGAACUAUUCAGGAUUAUCAGUCUGGUAAAAGUAUGAGCUUCUUUGUUGCUGCCCAACAUACACAUGGAUUUUAUGCAGCCAGCUGAGGGCUUUAACUCUUUUUUUUAUGUUCGCGGAGUUGCUGUCCGCUGUGGUACGUUGUUGAAGCCUAUGCUGGUGAAAGAUCUUUCUACAUCAAGUUCAAUUGGCCGUUCCUUGGUGCUGAUGUUGUGUUACCAAAGUUGCAUUAUUAUUUUACGAAAUUGCCGUUGUGUCAAUGUAGUUUACCGUUAAUAUGUUUAGAAGGAACAAACAAGAAAUAUGGGGAUGUUUAUGUCAAACACGUAAUAAACAUAUUUUCGGGAUUGGGAAAGGAAAGUGGAGGAUGUUGGAAUGGGGGGAUAUUUAAAGUUUGGAUGAAAAACAGUUAAUUUCUAACCCUGCAAUCAUAUCCCUGCCAAUUUAUCUCAAAACCACAAUAACUUAUUAGACCUUCCAAUUCUUCACACCCCACAAACAUGCACCUACACCUAACAACCCUCAAAUUUAUACACUUUUACACUUUAUACACUUGUACCAUGUAAUAUUUGUAAAAAUAGAUAAA